CUACGGGAGGCUGCAGUGGGGAAUAUUGCACAAUGGGGGAAACCCUGAUGCAGCAACGCCGCGUGAAGGAAGACGUAUUUCGGUAUGUAAACUUCUAUCAGCAGGGAAGAAAAUGACGGUACCUGACUAAGAAGCCCCGGCUAACUACGUGCCAGCAGCCGCGGUAAUACGUAGGGGGCAAGCGUUAUCCGGAUUUACUGGGUGUAAAGGGAGCGUAGGUGGCAUGGCAAGUCCGAUGUGAAAGCCCGGGGCUCAACCCCGGGAUUGCAUUAGAAACUGUCAGGCUAGAGUGCAGGAGAGGUAAGUGGAAUUCCUAGUGUAGCGGUGAAAUGCGUAGAUAUUAGGAGGAACACCAGUGGCGAAGGCGGCUUACUGGACUGUAACUGACACUGAGGCUCGAAAGCGUGGGGAGCAAACAGGAUUAGAUACCCUGGUAGUC
This 439-nucleotide ribosomal RNA is filed under the name uncultured bacterium. Its description in RNAcentral is "partial 16S ribosomal RNA". It matches the Rfam family "Bacterial small subunit ribosomal RNA", at positions 339 to 795 of the family's 1533-position model. The record is from RNAcentral.